This is a non-coding RNA of Manis javanica (Malayan pangolin), 2927 nucleotides long. NCBI's taxonomy places the organism in Eukaryota, Metazoa, Chordata, Mammalia, Pholidota, Manidae. The record is from RefSeq and is a predicted model, not a curated record.
UUUGGACAGAAGGAAACAGAAUUAUUUAAAACAGGACACUUCAUGAGUUUAAACAGGGGAAAUUAGUGAUGCCUGGAAAUUUAUUUAUCCCUACGUUUGGCAAGACAAGGCCAAAUGUUUGACACAGCUGUUGACAGAGAAAACAAACUCUUUGGAGUUAGGUUAAGGCAGAGACCCACUGGCAUGCCCAGUAGAGAUGAAAGGCCAGUGAGUAUGCAAGUGUCCUGCAUGCUCAGGGCCCAGUAUACCAGCGUAUCAGCACCCUUUCACUUUUCAUUAUAGUGGUGAGUGGACCAUCUUUGUGCAAAGGAGAAGAUCUCUUGGUGAUCUGAAAGCUACACUGUCCCAUCUGGAGGUUUUGAAUAAAGGAUUCUAGAACUCUGGAGCUGGGAGAAAUUAUUUAGUUUAGACCUUCCAAUUUACAGUUAAAAGAAUGUAGGCUGAGAGGUUGUGGGACUCAAGAAAACAGAGCAAGUAGGUGCAAGAGACAAGAUCAGGGUGCAGCCCUCCUCCCAUGAAAGACUCUUGGGACACACCACCUUCCGCAUGAGCAGAAGAAUUGGGGCCUUUGUCUUUGACCUGCCCAGGAGAGGUCUCAGGUGCUGCUGCUUUUGGUUGGGGCAUUUAAUACUCCAACUGUAAUUAUUGUAUUUUCACAUGCCAAUCAUGGUGGGCCAGUGUCCUCCUUGAAUGGACAUGUCCCCAGGUCCUCCCACCUCCCCCCACAACAAGAUCUAUCAAGAAAGCUGGUCAAUGGCUUGUUCAGACGACCAAAGGAGAAAAUCCAUACAAAGCACCUAGCUCCAGUGCAUGACAUGCAUUAAAGGUGCAAUUAAUUGCUGUGUGCAAAUAAAUGUGCUAACUGUGUUGUCAUAAUUCUCAGUAUCACAAUAUUCCAUCCUGUGGAAGGGAGGUUGAAGCUGAGAGUGAAGGUUGACGGUUUGCCAAGGAAGGGGAAGGGCAGGGGUGUGCCUGGCACACAGGACUGCAGACAUAAUCUGCAGGGCCCGGUACAAAAUGAAAACACCAGCUCCUUGUUCAAAAAGUUGUAUUCUGAGGUUGCCUACAAGCUGACCUUCCUCCCUGUGGAUGGGGGACUGCAGCGCAGCCACCACAGCCUCGCCCACCCCAGCGCUGUGGCCUCCCGGUGGCCGUCCUCGUCUCCGUCUCGUCCAGCAGGAUCCCACGGCCGCCCGAGGGUAAGGCAGAGCAUGGUCACACGACGGCCCAAGUGGCUCCGUACCCCUUACAGCCAAACCCAGCUCCUUCCCUGGCUUGCAGGCCUCCCUGCCCUCUUCUGCCCACUCUGUCCUGCCAUCCGCCUCUGCAGCCUCUCCGUCAGGCCUCAGUUUCUUCCACAGUUGCGCUGCCUCCAUGGAAACAAACCCUGGCACACUCUUUCCUGACAUCAGCCGGGUUGGGAGAACUCAGAAGGCUGGACGUACUAAGACAGGGGGGCAGAACCACCCCCACAUUUGGUUCUCUGGUGCUGCUGGCAAAGGCAUUCUAGAAUUCCUGCACUCCUGUGAGGUUCCUACUCUCACUGCUUCUGAAGGCACCCCCAAACCAGGAGGGUCCCUGUGACGCCAGCCCCCAGGAAAACAGAGCAGUGAGGGGCCCCCAGGGAGGGAGGGGAGAGCCAGUACUGUGGGUCUCUUCGUGGGCCGUGGGCUCUGUGCCCACAGCCGUGCAGGCAGCAGACAGUUCUCUCCUUAAUAUCUGCAAUGGAGGGGAUACUGGAAGAAGAUGCCCAUAAAGGAGGCAGUCUGAGAGUCGUACAUAGUCCUAGGCCCCAGAGCUCCGAUUCCCAGAGCCCCCAUCAUUUUAGCUGUGGGGGACCCUUUAGGGCUCAGGUCAGAGAAGAACAUCCUCGGUCCUGUGAGAUUUCGCCGUCAGAGCUGCAUCUGGGUUGGAGUCUGAGCUGGGGUGAGGGUGGGACUGAGGCCACAUUUUCUGAGUGCCCGGGAUGGACAGCACUGGGUGACCGGCCUUCCUCAGGUGACAGGCCCUGCCGGGCUCAGGGAGGGCCCCACUCCUGUGGGACAACCUCCACAGCAAGAGCCUCAGUCUUUGCCUCACUAUAGGCCCCUUCCCUGCGGCCUUCAAAUGAUAAUCUAGCUCCACUUCUUUAGAAUUUUUGUCUUCUGUUGACCAGCUUGCUGACUCUGUGGCAUCCUGACAGCACAUUCCCUCUUGGCUCCUUGUAACCUGACUCCGUAGCAUCUCGCUUGGACCUUGCUGAAGAUGUCCCUUCUGUUCAGACUGGUCUCUGGAGCUGGAGGACAAACGACGAGGAGGCUGGCUCUUGAAGUUUUUGUACUCAGCAUUGCCAGAGGUGAUGGAUAUUGAGGUCCUGGGGAUGUGUUUCCAGACAUAUUCAUCUUGCUGGUUCCCAGGAGAAAUAUGACACACUGCUGUUUUAAGGACCAUAGUACCAUGUAAAGUUGCAUUGAAAUGAAUAAGUCAUGACAGUUCUUUAUUUUCUUUUAUGAGAUUAUAAAUAAUUACUAUCAAAAUAGUAUCGCCCCCUUUAAAGUCACUAAAUAUGAGAGAACAAAACAGGUUGCAUUGCUGACUGGGAUGUCCGCAAAAAUAUGGCCCAGAAUAAGACAUACAGGAAUAUUUUCUUUAAAUGACACGAUGGCUCCUCUUCCCAAAAGAGAUUCUGACAAAAGCUGGCUUUGAAAGGGUGGGUCCUAAAUUUGGGAGAUUUUUUUCCUUUUUGUUUUAAACAAUACAGAGCAUUUUUAAAAUUAUUAUCGUUAACUAUUAUUAAAGUAAGUCAGAUUGCCUCCUCAUUGCUUCUUCCAGCCACGCCUCAAGCUCUUUCUAAUGCAGUUAAAAGACCACGUGUAGUGCUGCCUCCAAGGAGCCCGGCUCCCUGGACUGUGCCCAUCCCCCAGGCUUCCGGAGAAGAGCAGCUCUCC